GCGCCUCGUGAAUUCAUCUCCGGGGGUAGAGCACUGUUUCGGCUAGGGGGCCAUCCCGGCUUACCAACCCGAUGCAAACUGCGAAUACCGGAGAAUGUUAUCACGGGAGACACACGGCGGGUGCUAACGUCCGUCGUGAAGAGGGAAACAACCCAGACCGCCAGCUAAGGUCCCAAAGUCAUGGUUAAGUGGGAAACGAUGUGGGAAGGCCCAGACAGCCAGGAUGUUGGCUUAGAAGCAGCCAUCAUUUAAAGAAAGCGUAAUAGCUCACUGGUCGAGUCGGCCUGCGCGGAAGAUGUAACGGGGCUAAACCAUG
RNAcentral lists this ribosomal RNA (316 nucleotides) under Salmonella enterica. Its description in RNAcentral is "partial 23S ribosomal RNA". It matches the Rfam family "Bacterial large subunit ribosomal RNA", at positions 877 to 1191 of the family's 2925-position model. The record is from RNAcentral. Lineage: Bacteria; Pseudomonadati; Pseudomonadota; Gammaproteobacteria; Enterobacterales; Enterobacteriaceae. RNAcentral also lists the same sequence under 1 other name.